This 25-nucleotide non-coding RNA is filed under the name Rattus norvegicus (Norway rat). The record is from RNAcentral. Lineage: Eukaryota; Metazoa; Chordata; Mammalia; Rodentia; Muridae.
UGAUGUUUUGGAGGACAUAUGAGUC